UUAAUUAUUAAUAGGCCCGGGCAAAUAAAGGAUGGGAAAGCCCAGCUGGGCCUGACUCAAAUCUUGCCUCCGAAGCAAAUGGCUUUUGGUUCACGUCCAGGAGACCCAGCCACGAACGCGCUUGUUGGGAAAGCAGUGACAACCCGGAGGCGGCCGCAGCGGACGCACCGCUCAUACCUGCUUUAGAAAGGUGACGACGAGGGAGCGGGCCACAGUCGGGGCCCAGGGAUGGCAAACGCGGGGCCUCUGCGUUCAGGCCCAGAUGACCUGGGUGUCCUAUUCGGGGCCCAGCGUUCCACUGGGGUGGACACUGCAGACCUCUCCUCCUCUAAGCGCCGCCCAGACCCUGGGGCUGUCCAGCCGCUAAGGAGCUGCAGGCAGAGCUUUCUCCAGAAGCCACAGUGAGAACAAGGCAAGACAGUGUGAGGUUUGGGCUGAGGAGACCCCAAGAGAGAGAGACUUUGCCCCUCUUUUCUACUGCCACCCGCCUUAUCUUCACCGAACUCCUAUCCACCCUUCAAAGCCCGGCUCAGACGGCCUGUCCUCCAGGAAGCCCUGCCCAGUCCCAGCCAUGUUAACAACCAAGGAUACAGAUGCUGUCCCUGCUCUGCUGACAGUUUAGCAAAGUUAUUAAUCAAGUGACCAUCACAAACCAGGAGGACAGAAGGACACCGUGCUCUAAAGCAGGGAGAUGGUGCACGCUGUUUGGGGGAGCACACAUGAAUGUCCAAGGGCCAGCGCGUGGGCCAGGAGCAAAGGCGGCCUUCACUCAGCUGAGCAGCAGUCGGCAGGAGCCCGCUGGAAACUGGGAAACGGACUGACCGAAGCCCCUCGGUUCUGUUGCCCAGACCGAACACGGAGACCCGAGUGUGGCCAUCAAAAAGGAAUAAGCGAACAGGACCAAAGGCAAGCUACACGGCCCGUCCACGUAGAGUCAUGGGGUGUGGGUUGGCGAUUCUGUGUUUGUGGGACAUGAAAGAUCAGUCGGGAGCUGAAAACCAGGUAUUGCAGGCUUUAUUAGGAGAAAGACCUGCCGGGCUGUCUCGCAAGGGGAGAGCAGCAGCCCAUGCAGAGGCGAGCAGUCCUUCUGAGGGGCGGGAUGGGAAGGAAUGGGGCUUAGGGUACUCGGGCGAGCUGAUUGGUGGCUUAAUGAAUGGUCCAUAUAAGGUACAUGGUUAGGCACUCAGGUAUUUCCGGGCUGCAGGCUACUGUUACUCCGCCCACCAGUGGGGGGAAGGGAGGAUCCAGCAGGACAAUACAGAGGGGAAAGCGCCAGCCACCAAGGCUGUGAGGAAACUGCAGGACCUGGGAAAGAAAGCACAUUCAUUCUAAACGCCGGGGGAGCAGGCCUCGGACAGCCGUUUCCUGCAGGAGCCAGAGGAAGACGCCGGAAACUGCGUGGCAGCUUCAGCGGCAAACCGGGAGCAGAAGGGCAGCGGGCGGCCCGGUGGGCGGGAAAAGGCAGCCUGAGGAUAUGAAAAGGGACAGGACGGUGGAGUGGGUUGACCUGUGGUCUCCAAAGAGAUAGGUCCAAGUUCUAACCGCCGGUUCCUGUGAACGUGACCUUAUUUGGGAAAAGGCUCCUGGCAGAUACAUGACGUUCAGAGUCUCAGGGUGAGUCACCCUGGAUUAACGGGGUGGGCCCUAAAUCCAACGAUAAGUGUCCGUAUAAGAAGC
Molecule: long non-coding RNA, 1677 nt
Organism: Myotis brandtii (Brandt's bat)
Lineage: Eukaryota; Metazoa; Chordata; Mammalia; Chiroptera; Vespertilionidae
Exons: 3
Source: RefSeq, a predicted model, not a curated record